RNAcentral lists this ribosomal RNA (468 nucleotides) under uncultured bacterium. Its description in RNAcentral is "partial 16S ribosomal RNA". It matches the Rfam family "Bacterial small subunit ribosomal RNA", at positions 29 to 507 of the family's 1533-position model. The record is from RNAcentral.
UACGAACGCUGGCGGCGUGCUUAACACAUGCAAGUCGAACGGAAAGGCCCUGCUUUUGUGGGGUGCUCGAGUGGCGAACGGGUGAGUAACACGUGAGUAACCUGCCCUUGACUUUGGGAUAACUUCAGGAAACUGGGGCUAAUACCGGAUAGGAGCUCCUGCUGCAUGGUGGGGGUUGGAAAGUUUCGGCGGUUGGGGAUGGACUCGCGGCUUAUCAGCUUGUUGGUGGGGUAGUGGCUUACCAAGGCUUUGACGGGUAGCCGGCCUGAGAGGGUGACCGGCCACAUUGGGACUGAGAUACGGCCCAGACUCCUACGGGAGGCAGCAGUGGGGAAUAUUGCACAAUGGGCGGAAGCCUGAUGCAGCAACGCCGCGUGCGGGAUGACGGCCUUCGGGUUGUAAACCGCUUUCGCCUGUGACGAAGCGUGAGUGACGGUAAUGGGUAAAGAAGCACCGGCUAACUACGUG